AUCUGAAAAGCUGGCAGAAAAGAGAAAGGUAAAAUCAAGAUAAUGCAAAUGAGCAAGAACUUCAAUUCUGUGUUUAGAAAUCCAAUACCAAAUUUUGAAACUGAACCCAUCAUAAAGGACUUUAAGCAGUAAGAACUUAGUAGCUAAAGCCAUGGAAAGUAGAUUAUGGAUGCCAAAAUUGGAUAAUUUAGCUAAAAAGAGAAUUCAAAAUUGAAAAUUGAAA
Molecule: unclassified non-coding RNA, 223 nt
Filed under: Hevea brasiliensis (rubber tree)
Lineage: Eukaryota; Viridiplantae; Streptophyta; Magnoliopsida; Malpighiales; Euphorbiaceae
Source: RNAcentral